GACGAACGCUGGCGGCGUGCCUAACACAUGCAAGUCGAACGAUGAAGACCGGUGCUUGCACUGGUUGGAUUAGUGGCGAACGGGUGAGUAAUACGUGAGUAACCUGCCUUUGACUCUGGGAUAAGCCUUGGAAACGAGGUCUAAUACCGGAUACGACUAACCUUCGCAUGAAGUGUUAGUGGAAAGGGUUUGUACUGGUUUUAGAUGGGCUCACGGCCUAUCAGCUUGUUGGUGAGGUAAUGGCUCACCAAGGCGACGACGGGUAGCCGGCCUGAGAGGGUGACCGGCCACACUGGGACUGAGACACGGCCCAGACUCCUACGGGAGGCAGCAGUGGGGAAUAUUGCACAAUGGGCGCAAGCCUGAUGCAGCGACGCCGCGUGAGGGAUGACGGCCUUCGGGUUGUAAACCUCUUUCAGCAGGGGAGAAGCGAAAGUGACGGUACCUGCAGAAGAAGCGCCGGCUAACUACGUGCCAGCAGCCGCGGUAAUACGUAGGGCGCGAGCGUUGUCCGGAAUUAUUGGGCGUAAAGAGCUUGUAGGCGGUUUGUCGCGUCUGCUGUGAAGCCCGGGGCUUAACUCCGGGUUUGCAGUGGGUACGGGCUAACUAGAGUGCAGUAGGGGAGACUGGAAUUCCUGGUGUAGCGGUGGAAUGCGCAGAUAUCAGGAGGAACACCGAUGGCGAAGGCAGGUCUCUGGGCUGUAACUGACGCUGAGAAGCGAAAGCAUGGGGAGCGAACAGGAUUAGAUACCCUGGUAGUCCAUGCCGUAAACGUUGGGCACUAGGUGUGGGGGACAUUCCACGUUUUCCGCGCCGUAGCUAACGCAUUAAGUGCCCCGCCUGGGGAGUACGGCCGCAAGGCUAAAACUCAAAGAAAUUGGCGGGGGCCCGCACAAGCGGCGGAGCAUGCGGAUUAAUUCGAUGCAACGCGAAGAACCUUACCAAGGCUUGACAUAUACUGGACUCCCCUAGAGAUAGGGUUUCCCUUCGGGGCUGGUAUACAGGUGGUGCAUGGUUGUCGUCAGCUCGUGUCGUGAGAUGUUGGGUUAAGUCCCGCAACGAGCGCAACCCUCGUUCUAUGUUGCCAGCACGUGAUGGUGGGGACUCAUAGGAGACUGCCGGGGUCAACUCGGAGGAAGGUGGGGAUGACGUCAAAUCAUCAUGCCCCUUAUGUCUUGGGCUUCACGCAUGCUACAAUGGCCGGUACAAAGGGUUGCGAUACUGUGAGGUUGAGCUAAUCCCAAAAAGCCGGUCUCAGUUCGGAUUGGGGUCUGCAACUCGACCCCAUGAAGUCGGAGUCGCUAGUAAUCGCAGAUCAGCAACGCUGCGGUGAAUACGUUCCCGGGCCU
Molecule: ribosomal RNA, 1349 nt
Filed under: uncultured bacterium
Lineage: Bacteria
Description: bacterial SSU rRNA
Rfam family: Bacterial small subunit ribosomal RNA
Source: RNAcentral